UGGGCUGGUGGAACGACCGCUAUACACAUUGGAGGAAUUCUUCACCAUGACACAAACCUACUAAUUUUGUAAAGCAAGAAGCAUGAAGACAAUUUCUGUAUUUUGAGCUUCUGGCUGGAUUUGAGUUUCAAAUUAUAAUUUACAUGUUUUUAUUGAAAUUUAGUAUACUAUAUUCGAUGAGAUAAGUUUUACAAUAUAUAUAUAUAUAUAUCAUGUUACAUAUAUACAUGUAUCAUGUAUAUAUAUAUAUAUAUAUUAAUCAUACAGUUAUUAAAUUGAUUUUACAUUAAUAUCGAUUUUGUCCAUAUUAGCUUGUUUUAUACCUUAUAAUUUCAAAUGUAAAUAAUUUUGAGUGGAAGUCCGUGUUUUGGUGUGUGUCGAAACAUAUAGAGAACGUCAAAACAUAAACAAAGAAAUUGAAUAAAAGAAAGAAUGUGUAGAAUGAAUUAAAACACUUAAAAGGAUUAGAAAAGUAAAUUAUUGAAUACCCUUAAGACUCAGUGGAACGUAUAAUAAACAGCUUAUUAAUUAAAAUACUUACAGUUCGAGUCCUGGAGGAGCAAAACUGACUUAAUUUAGACUUUCUCUUAAUUUAAUUUCGACCAUAUUCAGAAUUUACAAUGUGAAAAUUCAAAAAUCUAUAAUUCCAAGUUUUGCAGUGCAAAAAGUUAAUAAUUUAUCCAUAUAUUUCAUAUGGGGUAUGUUUGAAACCUUUUUAUUCAUUAAUUUUGUCAUUUAAUGAAUAAGAAUUAAGAAUACUAGAAUGUAUUAUAGUUACGUGAGCUUGGAACAUCAUUAAGGAGUUUUUACAGAGUUUAAUUAACUUAAUACAUUUUUGUACUAAUAACUUUCUUGGUCCAGGUAUUAUUGUUAUGGCCUAGUAAACUUAAAAUAUUAUUACAUGAGCAAAUAAGUAACUAUAGGUUUAUAGACCUUGUUUGAGUUUGGAUCUUGAUCUUGUUAACAUAUAGUUGUAAGUGUAAAUAUUAUUUUACAUAGCAUGAAAUUACUCUGUCACUACAGAUAUAGUAUUGUAAAAUAUGCUGGGGAAUUUAUACCCCACUCCAUUGUAUCGUAAUAACAAUAUUUAAAAAGUACUACAGUAACAGCUGACUGGGUAUAGACUAAUGAUAAGAAUCAACAAAAUUUGAAAAAUUAAAAAAGUAUGGAGCUUAAGGAAUUGUGGCCUGAACUUCAAUUUCAACAUGUGAAGAAAUGAUCCAACUUGGAAGUUAAGUCUUCAAAGAUAAUGUUAAUAAUAACUCUGGUCAGCCAAGAGGAAACUUUCCACAACAGUCGCACAGGCGGUGAUCUCUGUUCAGUGGACUAGUCAGUAUGUGCGUGAUGGGGGUAAGCCAACCACCCGUAGGUAAGAGACGAGAGUUAGUUACUGGUGAGUUGGCACUACUGACUUUAAACAAGAAGUGAACUUUAGCUGUCUCAGUCAGUUUGUAAUGCCCUUUGUUAUUUUCAAUUUUAAUGUAUUAAUGCACUGCGAUUCAUCGUCUAGUAUUUCAGUUUAUCAAUCACUAAUAGCACUCAGCUACUGACCUAAAGCCUCGGUUGAAACGAGGUAACAAACAAUAAUAGUUAAACUGAGGGUGAUCUGACGUUUUGCUCAUUUUGAGAAUAUAAAAUUGCUUGGAUAUCCUAUAUCCUAAUUCCCUCUCUAGCUUAUAUAUUUUUUAAAUACGUACGAAAACAUACAAUGUAUGUAUGUAUGUAAACACUGUCUGGUAUAUAUUUUGUAAAUAAGAGACAAAAGCAUACAGUGUAUGUGUAUAAAAACUUUCACGUCAGACGAGUUUGAGAUUAAAAAACAAUACAUAUUAAACAGUUUUCUAAAAUUUAAUGGAAUUGAUACUCACAAUGAAAUUAUGUUCUGAGAUUGUUUUACUCGUCAGGAUUGUAAUUUUGUAAGGAUAUUGUUAAUGUAUCCUUAAUAAACUGUCAUUUUGAAUUCAUCCAUUACUUGAAAUGAAUUUAAUGAUCACCAUUCAAAGUACUGAAGUAAACCAUAUAUUGUCCAGAUGUUACAAAUAAUUUGAUGAAUCUUUUACUGAAGUGCCAAGCAUUUGAAUUGAGAAAAGUAAAUAAUAGCAUAAAUAGCUAAAGUUUGUUGGUCCACUUUCAAGUAAAAUUCACUAUUUAAUAUCUGUGUGUAAGGCUAACUAUAAUUAAUUAAAUAUUAUAUGUCUAGCUUUAAACUUAUCAUUAAACAGCAAUGUAUAGAUCAACCUCUGUGUAACAACUAAUUUGAUAAAUUAACUCUUAACAGGCUUUAUUUUUAAAAGAAUCAACAUUCCUGGAUAGAAAACACGAUCUAAAAUGUGAACAGAAUUAAAGAUUUUUACUGUUUGUCAUCUGAGAUGAAACAUAUACAUUAGAAUCAGAUUGUUAAAAUAUUAAAAGUAAAUUAUAUUUAGUGAGCAUUGAUUACAAUUUGUUUUUCUGUGUAGGACAAGUUUCAAAAACUACUGAAUCUGAUGCCGGAGAUUCAUUCCUUGGCGAGUAGAGGGGAGGAGUACCUCUAUCACAAGCAUUGUAAUGGCAGUGCGCCCACGCAGACGCUACUCAUGGAAAUGUUACAUGCCAAGCGGAAAUAACCAUCACCUGGAGCAGAGGGGCUCACUGCGUUGAGAGCCCAGCCAACAGCGUCAUGUGCUCCGGAAGAGUGCAAUAACAGUGCUACAGCUACAGUAUUACCAAGAUCUUACGUGUGCGCAUCGUGACAGUGUCCGGUCGCCUGCACCUGCCUAGAGCAAGAUAUGCCUUCAAAAAAGAGUACAAAAGUCAUAAAAAGUAUAAACGAGUACCAGAAGUAACUAAAGGCAUUAUUCACUGUGUAGUAUUGUGUACAGGCUAAGUGUAGAGCCGGGGCUCAGAACCAACUUUCAUACCCACGUUUUCAGUACAUUUCAAAAAUGUGUAAAUUAUAUUUUUUUAAUGUUGUUAUUUAUUUGAUAUGUUGUUUUAUAUGGUGUACAUGGUUGAAGUUUUGUAUAUAGAGAAUAAUGCAAAUGUGGUAAUGUUUUGUUUGCUUUUCAUAAAAGCGCACAAGAUGGAAAAUGUCUACCGAAGUUUGAACUGUGAAUGAUCUUGGUUCUGGGCCUCCGCUGCAGCAAACUGUUGUUGCUCAUUUAAUUUUAAAAUUGUAAAUUAUACUGUAUUACGUUACAUUCCAGUUUGUCGCUCUGGAAGGGAUUGUUUGGGCAUCAGAUCUUUAUCUUCACUUCUUCCCUAAAAAUUGAUCUAAGAACGCUUCUUAACACCUUGCAGUUCUCGCAUUUCAAAAAAAACCUCUUCCACUUUCGAGUAUUUACAUUCCAAACUCCUUCUUUUUCUCCUCUUCCGAUCCCUUUCCUUUCCUAUCUUUACGAAUCAAAUUCGGUUACGGUCGCUCUUUCGGCAUUCACUUUUCUUUCAAUUAAUAUUCCCGACUCAUUAACACUCUGGGAUCUCGGUGUUGGGACAACAAAAGUUUCCUGUAGAUUAUGUUAAUUUAGAACUGCUGCCUCUAGGGCGUAUGUUCAAUGUUCAUUAAGUUUAAUGUAAAGAAUGUUAUUGUACUUGAAUAGGUUUAACGAGUGAAUGAAAAAACUAUUGUAUUUAAAUUUGUAUAAAAUAUUGUUAAUCGCGCAGUAACCUAAAUGUUUUGUCACAGUUACCUUAUUUACCUCGUUGCACACGACUCUCUCUGUGUGCCUUUCCCUCCCUUGUAUUAAUACUCGACCGACAGUUGUGUAUGGUGUGUAUGUGUAUAUAGACGUGUGUGCGUACGAACAACGUGUGUCGUGAGAGCCCAUGUGUGACGAGGACUCCUCCACGUUUUCACUGCCACAAAUCCACGAUCUGGCAACUUAUCCAUUUGUACAUUUGUUUUAUAAAUUUUCAAAUAAAUGUGCUAUUUUGGUAUGUAGAGUAUAUUUUUAUGGUUGAGAACUUUAAAAGAAGCUGGCCGUGAUUUAAAUAUUGUGAUGAAAAGAGAAUUUAUUUUUAAAAGUAUCUACAGUUGACUUGUAAUCCGGUUAUAGAAGUUUAUUGUUGUUAAAAUAAAAAUUUGUAGUUUUAUAGUAUUUUAUUUCUGUAUUUUGUAAAUUUUAACUAGGUGACAUCACAAUUUCCUUUUUUUACAUACUGAACAACUAUUGUUUUUUAUAAAUAUAAAUCACCAAGCAUGUUUAAGAGUUUUGUAUACUUUCAUAUAAAAAGUAUUAUAAAGUCUUUAGAUGAAGGAUAAACCCUAUGAACCAUUGAUAUGAUAAAGUUACUAGUAUUACAGGCUCAGCGUUGUAUGUGUAAUGUCAGUGUCAUCCUCUUAAGUUCCGUAUUGUGGCACUUGUUUUAUUUAUCUGCUACUUCUUAUUGUUUUUAUUUAGACCACUAUAUAAUAUUAAGAAACAAAUUUUGUUACCUCAGUUUGUUGUACUUGUAUUUACCAUUUACAAGUGACCAUUACCAUGUUUUACACUGUAUAUAGUGUGUGUAUCCGUUGUAAGGAUACUCAUUGUUCAUUUUGUUCCUGGAUUCUGGUGGUUCACAACAUCAUUUCUCACACGAUAACAUGUUGUAAAAAAUAGCUUAUAUUUUCUAAAAUAUUUAUUAAUUUUUUAGUCUGAUAUAAAAACCAGGUGAUACUGUCCAGUUCCAGCAGCCAAAUGUAUUUGUGAAUGAAUUGUAGAAAUGAAAUAAAAACCAAAACACAUAUUUUAAUUUGUUGAUAA
This 4724-nucleotide long non-coding RNA is filed under the name Homalodisca vitripennis (glassy-winged sharpshooter). RNAcentral's name for it is "uncharacterized LOC124364866". Lineage: Eukaryota; Metazoa; Arthropoda; Insecta; Hemiptera; Cicadellidae. The record is from RNAcentral.